Molecule: ribosomal RNA, 330 nt
Filed under: uncultured bacterium
Lineage: Bacteria
Description: bacterial SSU rRNA
Rfam family: Bacterial small subunit ribosomal RNA
Source: RNAcentral
AGUGUAGGCGGUGCGAUAAGUUUGGUGUGAAAUCUCCCGGCUCAACUGGGAGGGUGCGCCGAAGACUGUCGUGCUCGAGUGUGGGAGAGGUAGGCGGAAUUCCUGGUGUAGCGGUGAAAUGCGUAGAUAUCAGGAGGAACACCUGCGGUGUAGACGGCUUACUGGACCACGACUGACGCUGAAACUCGAAAGUGUGGGGAGCAAACAGGAUUAGAUACCCUGGUAGUCCACACCCUAAACGAUGCAUACUUGGUGUGAGCGAUUCAUUUCGUUCGUGCCGGAGCUAACGCGUUAAGUAUGCCGCCUGGGGAGUACGGUCGCAAGGCUGAA